This 57-nucleotide transfer RNA is filed under the name Bos taurus (domestic cattle). It matches the Rfam family "tRNA", at positions 8 to 63 of the family's 71-position model. Rfam says of the family: Transfer RNA (tRNA) molecules are approximately 80 nucleotides in length. Their secondary structure includes four short double-helical elements and three loops (D, anti-codon, and T loops). Lineage: Eukaryota; Metazoa; Chordata; Mammalia; Artiodactyla; Bovidae. The record is from Rfam by way of RNAcentral. RNAcentral also lists the same sequence under 5 other names.
UGGCUUAGUCAGUAAAGAAUCUGCCUGCAAUGCAGGAGACCCAGGUUCAAUUCCUGG